This 800-nucleotide long non-coding RNA is filed under the name Pongo abelii (Sumatran orangutan). RNAcentral describes it as "lncRNA (ENSPPYG00000040083.1)". The record is from RNAcentral. Lineage: Eukaryota; Metazoa; Chordata; Mammalia; Primates; Hominidae.
CUGGGCUUUUUCUGGCUUUGAUGAGGUAAGGUGCUGUAUUGUGAGAGGGUCUGUGAGAUCACAAGGUCAGGAGCUGAGAUCCAGUCCUGGCCAACAUCCAGCAAGAGAGCAGGAUCUCGGUCCAACAGCAGUAUGGAAUGGAACUUAAUUCUGACAACCACUUAGGUUGGUGGAAAACUUCGAACUUUAGUAAGAAAUGCAGCCCCACUGAUAUCUCAUUUGCAGCCUGUGAGACCCUUAGCAGAGGACCCAGCUAAAUUGUGCCUGGUCUCCUGAUUCACAGAAAUAUUAUGAAAAAGUAUGAUUUUAAGCAACUACAUUUAUGGUAACUUAUUACACAGCAAUAAAAAACAAAUGUAAUAAUUUAUUCAGAAGUUUUAUAUACCACUGAUUCUAAUAGAACCAUACAGACACUUUCUAGGAUCUAGGCUUAGGUAGAUAUAUUCCUGGGGCUCUUUCAAUUCUGAAACUUUGGGCUCAGGAGCUAUUUCCAAUAAUGAUUAAAAAAAAGUGAAAGAAGACACUACAAAAUGAAGAGAAAGGCAGAGAAGGGUAAAAAUAAAUGCAGAAACCAAAAAGAGGGAGAUACUAGAAUUACAUUUGUUUCUCUGGCAUUCCAAAUAUGUCUCGCAUUGAAGUAUCACAUUAUAGAACUGGAGAUAGCACAAAAAUAAAGGAGACUUCAAUAAUCUAGAACAAGUAAGUGCCUAUCCUAUUUAUUUUUAAAAAUAUUAAAUUUCUAAUUUAAGCCAGGCAUGCAACUAAGUGCUUCCUAGAAAUAAAUUUUGUCCCUGCUUUCA